GACGAACGCUGGCGGCGUGCUUAACACAUGCAAGUCGAACGGAAAGGCCUCUUUCGGGGGGUACUCGAGUGGCGAACGGGUGAGUAACACGUGAGUAACCUGCCCUUGACUUUGGGAUAACUUCAGGAAACUGGGGCUAAUACCGGAUAGGAGCUCCUGCUGCAUGGUGGGGGCUGGAAAGUUUCGGCGGUUGGGGAUGGACUCGCGGCUUAUCAGCUUGUUGGUGGGGUAGUGGCUUACCAAGGCUUUGACGGGUAGCCGGCCUGAGAGGGUGACCGGCCACAUUGGGACUGAGAGACGGCCCAGACUCCUACGGGAGGCAGCAGUGGGGAAUAUUGCACAAUGGGUGGAAGCCUGAUGCAGCAACGCCGUGUGCGGGAUGACGGCCUUCGGGUUGUAAACCGCUUUCGCUCAUGACGAAGCUUUGUGUGACGGUAGUGGGUAAAGAAGCACCGGCUAACUACGUG
This 467-nucleotide ribosomal RNA is filed under the name uncultured bacterium. Its description in RNAcentral is "partial 16S ribosomal RNA". It matches the Rfam family "Bacterial small subunit ribosomal RNA", at positions 28 to 507 of the family's 1533-position model. The record is from RNAcentral.